AGGGGAAGUGAUGAAGCUGAAGGCGUCUCUCUGCUCAGACUGAUGUUCAGUCGUCAUCCAGACACCAUGAAGACUCCGUGUGUCUCUCUGCUCCUCGGUGUGUGUGUGCUGCUGCUGUCUGCACCGACUGUUUCUGCAGUGUCUCUGUCUGUCAGUCCAAACCUUCAGCAGGUCUUCAGUGGAUCUCCUUCAGUGUAUCUGAGUUGUGUGGAUGAUGGACAGACAGCUGAUGGAUGGACAGUGAAGAGGACCAGAGGAGGACCCACUGAGGACUGUAGAGCAGCUGGGUCAGAGUUCUGGAUUAAGUUUGGUUCCUACUGUGUUGUGGAUCUUUCUGCUCCCAGUGAAACCUUCUGGUGUGAGGACUCCUCUGGACAGCAGAGUGACAACAUUUCCUUCAGUGUCCAAUCAGACACUAAAGAUAAAGCUGUCAUCCUGGAGGUCCCUGCACUUCCUGUGAGGACAGGAAGUGAUGUCAUUCUGCGCUGCAGACAGAGGAAUGGUGACACGGUCAAAGCUUAUUUCUACAUCAAAGGAAGUUCUGUUGGUCCUAAACCAGAGCACAACAUCACUAAGAUCACGCAGGCUGAUGAAGGUCUCUACUGUUCUACUGAUGAUGGUGCAAAGUCUCCUGAGAGCUCUCUGAGGGUCAGAGAUCCUCCCAAAAUCAUCCAUCCUCCCCCUCCUCACUGUCCUCCCCCUCCUCACUGUCCUCCUCCUCCAAGCACCUCCACAAACUUUGCUCCUCCUGUAAAAACUCCUCUUACUUGUCCUCCCUGUACUUCUCCUCCUCCUCCUCCCUCUCUCCUGGUCCCAGUUGUAGCAGGUCUGGUCUCCGUGGUUCUCCUGGUUCUGGUUCUGGGUGGAGUCCUGUUCCUCUUCUGUAAACUAAAAGGAACAACAAGUUCACAGCACUUCCUACUGUCUGACAAACACCAUCACGCUGUCAGCACGAACCAUCACAUGAGUUCGAUGUGCACCAUUACUCCUCCUGUGCUGAUGUUGCUCUGUGUGAUGCAGGAGGUCGGGGAGCAGAGCUGUGGAGCUGUGGAGGUGACGGCUGUCUGAGAUGGAGCGUCUGCCUCUGCUUUUCAGGCCUGUUUCUGCUGACUGCUGCAGGUGUGUGUGUGCUGCUGCUGUCUGCUCUGACAGUUUCUGCAGCUCCUCCUCCCUGUGAGUCUGUGCUCAGACUCUUCUGCCAUCUAGUGGUCUUCUGUCCGUACUGCAUCUCCACCGGUCUGCUGCUGUCCAUCUGCUGGAGCAGGAAGACACCGAACAAACCAGCCGUCUCCAUGGAGAUGACCCAGCGUGAUGGAGGAGGUCAGGGACUGGCUGAAGAUGGUGAUGAUGUCACUGCUGAUGUCACCACUGAGCAUGCCUUCUGAGCUGCAGACUGACAGCAUCUGCAGUAUUUCUGUAUCUUGGUUCCUCUUUUGCUGUGUUGGAGUAAAGUUCUAGUGUUUGCUGUCAGUAUGGAUUAGUUAGGUUUGAGUUUAUCGCUUCAUCCCUGUUUCCUGUGUAAGUCUGUCCUCUGUGCAUGUCUCUUAAGUCAUGUGUCCUCUGUACAUUCUCCCAGUCCAUCAUGUGCGUCUCCUCCCGUUGUCUUCCAAGUUCGUCUAGUUCUUCCCUCCCGUCUCCUGUGUCAUAUUGUGUGAAUUAGUGUUUCCUGUUUUACUUUGACAGUGCCACGUCCUGUGUUCAGUGUGUAUAGCUUUGCUUCCUGUGUGUCGUCAGGUCCACUCUCCCUAAUGACCCUUGUGUGCUUAUGUUGUGUCUGUUUUCCUCUGUCAGGUUGCCUGUUUCCUGUGUCUCUCACGUCAUGGUCUAGUUCAUCCUGGUCUCAUGUUCCAGUUUUCCUUGUUUUUUGCUUUAUUUUCCCCAGUUUAGUCAGUGAGUCCAGUCCUGGUUUCACAUUUUAUGUAUGUCAACAUUUCCAGCCUCAAUAAAUGACUCUCCUUCGUUCAACCUCACUCUCGCCUCAGUUGUCUACAUUUGGCUCCUCCUCUUCUCUCCACAUGAUGUGUUGUUGCC
Long non-coding RNA from Astatotilapia calliptera (eastern happy), 2031 nucleotides. Lineage: Eukaryota; Metazoa; Chordata; Actinopteri; Cichliformes; Cichlidae. The record is from Ensembl.